This 443-nucleotide ribosomal RNA is filed under the name uncultured Pseudonocardia sp. Its description in RNAcentral is "bacterial SSU rRNA". It matches the Rfam family "Bacterial small subunit ribosomal RNA", at positions 337 to 788 of the family's 1533-position model. Lineage: Bacteria; Bacillati; Actinomycetota; Actinomycetes; Pseudonocardiales; Pseudonocardiaceae. The record is from RNAcentral.
UCCUACGGAGGCAGCAGUGGGGAAUAUUGCGCAAUGGGCGGAAGCCUGACGCAGCGACGCCGCGUGGGGGAUGACGGCUUUCGGGUUGUAAACUUCUUUCGACCUUGACGAAGCCUUUCGGGGUGACGGUAGGGGUAGAAGAAGCACGGGCCAACUACGUGCCAGCAGCCGCGGUAAUACGUAGGGUGCGAGCGUUGUCCGGAAUUAUUGGGCGUAAAGAGCUCGUAGGCGGUCUGUCGCGUCGGUCGUGAAAACUUGGGGCUUAACCCUGAGCUUGCGGUCGAUACGGGCAUGACUGGAGUUCGGCAGGGGAGACUGGAAUUCCUGGUGUAGCGGUGAAAUGCGCAGAUAUCAGGAGGAACACCGGUGGCGAAGGCGGGUCUCUGGGCCGAUACUGACGCUGAGGAGCGAAAGCGUGGGGAGCGAACAGGAUUAGAUACCCU